GACGAACGCUGGCGGCGUGCUUAACACAUGCAAGUCGAACGGUAAGGCCCUUCGGGGUACACGAGUGGCGAACGGGUGAGUAACACGUGGGUGAUCUGCCCUGCACUUCGGGAUAAGCCUGGGAAACUUGGUCGAAUACCGGAUAGGACCACUGCCUGCAUGGGUGGUGGUGGAAAGCUUUUGCAGUGUGGGAUGGGCCCGCGGCCUAUCAGCUUGUUGGUGGGGUGAUGGCCUACCAAGGCGACGACGGGUAGCCGGCCUGAGAGGGUGACCGGCCACACUGGGACUGAGAUACGGCCCAGACUCCUACGGGAGGCAGCAGUGGGGAAUAUUGCACAAUGGGCGCAAGCCUGAUGCAGCGACGCCGCGUGAGGGAUGACGGCCUUCGGGUUGUAAACCUCUUUCAGCACCGACGAAGCGCAAGUGACGGUAGGUGCAGAAGAAGGACCGGCCAACUACGUGCCAGCAGCCGCAGUAA
Molecule: ribosomal RNA, 478 nt
Filed under: uncultured bacterium
Lineage: Bacteria
Description: partial 16S ribosomal RNA
Rfam family: Bacterial small subunit ribosomal RNA
Source: RNAcentral